GACGAACGCUGGCGGCGUGCUUAACACAUGCAAGUCGAACGGGAUUUAGUAGACAGAAGCCUCGGCUAAAGAUUACUAAUGAGAGUGGCGAACGGGUGAGUAACGCGUGAGCAACCUGCCUAUGACAGUGGGAUAGCCUCGGGAAACCGGGAUUAAUACCGCAUAAAAUCGUAGAAACACAUGUUUCAACGGUCAAAGAUUUAUCGGUCAUAGAUGGGCUCGCGUCUGAUUAGCUAGUUGGUGAGAUAACAGCCCACCAAGGCGACGAUCAGUAGCCGGUCUGAGAGGAUGAACGGCCACAUUGGAACUGAGACACGGUCCAAACUCCUACGGGAGGCAGCAGUGGGGAAUAUUGCACAAUGGGGAAACCCUGAUGCAGCGACGCCGCGUGAACGAAGAAGGUAUUCGUAUCGUAAAGUUCUGUCCUAUGGGAAGAUAAUGACAGUACCAUAGAAGAAAGCUCCGGCUAAAUACGUG
RNAcentral lists this ribosomal RNA (477 nucleotides) under uncultured bacterium. RNAcentral's name for it is "partial 16S ribosomal RNA". It matches the Rfam family "Bacterial small subunit ribosomal RNA", at positions 28 to 507 of the family's 1533-position model. The record is from RNAcentral.